This is a long non-coding RNA of Salvia splendens (bonfire salvia), 397 nucleotides long. RefSeq lists it as uncharacterized. The transcript has 2 exons. The record is from RefSeq and is a predicted model, not a curated record. Lineage: Eukaryota; Viridiplantae; Streptophyta; Magnoliopsida; Lamiales; Lamiaceae.
AUUACUUUUAUAAUUUGCAUAGGGAGAACAAAUUUGCUGAUACCGCAAUUUUUUGAGUAAUGAAUGAGAAGACGAAGAGGGAUUCAUUGAUUCAACAACUUAAAGAUAAAAGUUUGUGAUUCAACGACUUAGAGAAGUAGCUAAUUUAGAGUAUUUUUUGGUUACACAACCAACUCCACCUACGAAUCAGUGAUUUAUAAUUUGGAAGACCAAGUAAACAUAUUUGACUUCACGUAGCUACUGGUAUACUUCCUUCGUAUUAUUGCUUCAGUUUUGUGUGUCAAAUUUAUGAGAUUCAGCAGUUUUUUUAUCACUAUAUGUAACUUGUAAAUUAGAGGGCGUUUAGUUUUAUAAUACUGAAGUUAGUCGCUAAUUAGCGUUGAAUUAUUUCUUGGAA